GUUCUGAGAGGAAGAUCAGCCACACUGGGACUGAGACACGGCCCAGACUCCUACGGGAGGCAGCAGUGGGGAAUAUUGCACAAUGGGGGAAACCCUGAUGCAGCCAUGCCGCGUGUGUGAAGAAGGCCUUCGGGUUGUAAAGCACUUUCAGUUGUGAGGAAAAGUUAGUAGUUAAUACCUGCUAGCCGUGACGUUAACAACAGAAGAAGCACCGGCUAACUCCGUGCCAGCAGCCGCGGUAAUACGGAGGGUGCGAGCGUUAAUCGGAAUUACUGGGCGUAAAGCGCACGCAGGCGGUUUGUUAAGCUAGAUGUGAAAGCCCCGGGCUCAACCUGGGAUGGUCAUUUAGAACUGGCAGACUAGAGUCUUGGAGAGGGGAGUGGAAUUCCAGGUGUAGCGGUGAAAUGCGUAGAUAUCUGGAGGAACAUCAGUGGCGAAGGCGACUCCCUGGCCAAAGACUGACGCUCAUGUGCGAAAGUGUGGGUAGCGAACAGGAUUAGAUACCCUGGUAGUCCACACCGUAAACGCUGUCUACUAGCUGUGUGUG
This 547-nucleotide ribosomal RNA is filed under the name Alteromonas sp. 35B6. RNAcentral describes it as "bacterial SSU rRNA". It matches the Rfam family "Bacterial small subunit ribosomal RNA", at positions 289 to 828 of the family's 1533-position model. Lineage: Bacteria; Pseudomonadati; Pseudomonadota; Gammaproteobacteria; Alteromonadales; Alteromonadaceae. The record is from RNAcentral.